RNAcentral lists this long non-coding RNA (2007 nucleotides) under Gossypium barbadense (sea-island cotton). RNAcentral's name for it is "long non-coding RNA (GBAR_LNC013108)". Lineage: Eukaryota; Viridiplantae; Streptophyta; Magnoliopsida; Malvales; Malvaceae. The record is from RNAcentral.
AUCUGGAGAAAUAAUAAGAAAAAAGGCGCUAAAUGCAGUCUCCGCAAAUAUAUAUAUAUAUCAAAAACUAAAGAAAAAUUACAUCUAAGACCAUAACUCAAUCAAGGACAAUAAGCAAAUUUUACAACCUUGGCAGCAACUGGAGUCCGUAUAUAGGCAACACUUCAGAUUUUUCUCAUCUCUUUAACAGUGUAAUCACAUUAUAGUAAUGUAACUGAAUUAUCUAAUCCGGAAGUAACUAUAAGCCAUUACUACCUAAUGCUUAGAUCAACCAGCAUUCUGAACCUCAUUUUUAUCACCAUACAUCUGUUUGAGAACCAACCAAACUCAAAUCGUACACUCUAAAUCUAUGUUCACUCGGACUCGGGUAUGAGUUUCAAAUGUAGGCACAUGUUUGAGACGGAUAUGUUAGUUUUGGUUUUUCAUGUAUCUGGAGGAUCUUUGAAAAGUCAUGUGUCGCCCAUAUGCAUGUUCGGAUAUUGAGUCUAGAACGGGUACUUCAGACGGAUAUCCAGAGGAUCAUUAACAGCAUAAUCGCGUUGCAGUAAUGUAACUGAAUUAUCUAAUCCGGAGGUAACUAUUUACCAAAAGAUUUGAUAACACCGUCUGCACAUUCCUUGUUAUAUCUUUUCUCCUUCAUUGGCCAUCUUAUUUCAAAAUCAGUCACAUAGUCCCACCACAUCCAAGGUCUAUUGGUCUCAUUUGCCACUUUGAAAACACAAAGCUGCCUUAAGUUCUCAAUAACUACAUCUUUCCCUUCAUAACCUGAGCUAAAAUCUUGUUCAGGAUCCGGUGCACAGUAUCUUCCGCGGUUGAUGCAUUGAGAUUUGCAAUGUCGACUUAGGGUGAAAGCUUGAGGGCAGUACCAAGUUAUAUAAUGGGGUGUGAACUGCGUAUAGCCACCUUUUUCGAGAAUCUUAGCAGCACCCUUGAAAUCCUUCACAAAUGCCAUCAGCAUAUCGCAUUUAACUCCACAUUCAUCAUUGCUCUUGGUCCAUAACUCGUACUCGUCACGAUCAUCAGGGUUAGAGUUUCACCAGAAGUUUUCUCGAUAAGGGCAGAUGAACUGUCCUCUUCGGGAUUGUCCAUGGUUAUUAAUGCUUCUUCUAUAUCAUCCGCAACAAGCACUGCAGAAGCACUGCUUGCCGUACAGUCCAAACCUUUAAAGCAAAGAAGCAAUCUGGAAAAAUAAUAAGAAAAAAGGCGCUAAAUGCAGUCUCCGCAAAUAUAUAUAUCAAAAACUAAAGAAAAAUUACAUCUAUGACCAUAACUCAAUCAAGGAUAAUAAGCAAAUUUUACAACCUUGGCAGCAACUGGAGUACGUAUAUAGGCAAUACUUCAGAUUUUUCUCAUCUCUUUAACAUUGUAAUCACAUUUUAGUAAUGUAACUGAAUUAUCUAAUCCGGAAGUAACUAUAAGCCAUUACUACCUAAUGCUUAGAUCAACCAGCAUUCUGAACCUCAUUUUUAUCACCAUACAUCUGUUUGAGAACCAACCAAACUCAAAUCGUACACUCUAAAUCUAUGUUCACUCGGACUCGGGUAUGAGUUUCAAAUGUAGGCACAUGUUUGACACGGAUAUGUUUGUUUUUGUUUUUCAUGUAUCUGGAGGAUCUUUGAAAAGUCAUGUGUCCCCAUAUGCAUGUUCGGAUAUUGAGUCUAAAACGGGUACUUCAGACAGAUAUCCAGAGGAUCAUUGACAGCGUAAUUGCAUUGCAGUAAUGUAACUGAAUUAUCUAAUCCGCAGGUAACUAUUUACCAAAAGAUUUGAUAACACCGUCUGCACAUUCCUUGUUAUAUCUUUUCUCCUUCAUUGGCCAUCUUAUUUCAAAAUCAGUCACAUAGUCCCACCACAUCCAAGGUCUAUUGGUCUCAUUUGCCACUUUGAAAACACAAAGCUGCCUUAAGUUCUCAAUAACUACAUCUUUCCCUUCAUAACCUGAGCUAAAAUCUUGUUCAGGAUCCGGUGCACAGUAUCUUCCGCGGUUGAUGCAUUGAGAUUUGCAAU